Molecule: long non-coding RNA, 1115 nt
Organism: Gadus macrocephalus (Pacific cod)
Lineage: Eukaryota; Metazoa; Chordata; Actinopteri; Gadiformes; Gadidae
Exons: 2
Source: RefSeq, a predicted model, not a curated record
CACAUUACAAGAGACAAGAUUCAAAUAUUUCAGAGAUAAGAUAAGUCAUUGUUCAAGGUUACGAAAAACAUCUCCUGCGCCACACGGCCAGACUGCCUAUCACUGCUGAUAUGGAGCAGAACUUUGCUAAUUGUUUAGAUUUUCUGCUGGAGAGCCCCGCCAGCCUUAACCCACUGAAAACACGGUUGUGGACAUGCCCCAAGCUUCCAAAAAUAAACACUAUUAGCUUGCAUUGGUAGCCUAGGUCCCUUAGUAUUUCCAGAAUGGGCUGGUAUUUAAUGAUUUUAUCGUUGAAAGCAAUUUCCAUGUACAGAUCAAACACACAGCCUAUCUCAAGUAAGAGCACUUCCCUUCUGUCUCUUUUUAAAAACACAACAUCAGGGGUAUUUGGGAUGUUACACAUGACAUCAAUAGAGCUGUUAAACCAUUCCGGCAUGAUGCGUGAAUGUUUACACACACACACACACACACACACACACACACACACACACACACACACACACACACACACACACACACACACACACACACACACACACACACACACACACACGGUUAAGUGGUGAUAUCCAGCUUUUUUUACUUUUCACUUCUCAGGGUUGUGAAUUUGCCGCCACACUCGCAAAGCGUUUGACCGAUAACAACAGAGUGGGCAUCCUGACAAAUCACAGUAGACUGGGCUACUCGGGAGGGGAGCCUUAAAGUGACAUGAUAUUAAACAGCCCGUUUUUGAAAGCCACUGAAAUUGGUAUUGCAGAAAUGAACACUGAGAAUAAUAAGGGAUAUUUCUAAAAUACAGCCAUGUAACCCUAUUCUAACCGCAAAUGCAAUUAUUAACCCUAAAAAAGCAUGAUAUGGGAUCUUUAAAACAAGUCUGAGUGAUGGAUACAGGGAUUAAAUAUGAUGGACUGAGUGUUUACCUUUGGCGGGGUUGAACAGCAGGAAGCGCUCAAACAGCUCAUGCUGGAUGGGGACCUGCUCUGUGGAGUUGUAGGGCAGGAUGUCUUCGUGGCUCACGUAGUCCAGACCUGGACCACAACACCGGUCAGAGGUAUGGACACACACACAGAGGGUGAGGAGGAUCAAAUGAAAUGUUCUGAAUGACGGACAGGUGU